Non-coding RNA from Callithrix jacchus (white-tufted-ear marmoset), 1442 nucleotides. Lineage: Eukaryota; Metazoa; Chordata; Mammalia; Primates; Cebidae. The record is from RefSeq and is a predicted model, not a curated record.
CAGCAGGUGAGGGGCUCUCAACUCCUCUCCCAAACAAUGAGUGUCUGCAGUUUGGUGGGGAGGGUAUGAUUUCACAGCAGGUGAGGGGCUCUCAACUCCUCUCCCAAACAAUGAGUGUCUGCAGUUUGGUGGGGAGGGUAUGAUUUCACAGCAGGUGAGGGGCUCUCAACUCCUCUCCCAAACAAUGAGUGUCUGCAGUUUGGUGGGGAGGGUAUGAUUUCACAGCAGGUGAGGGGCUCUCAACUCCUCUCCCAAACAAUGAGUGUCUGCAGUUUGGUGGGGAGGGUAUGAUUUCACAGCAGGUGAGGGGCUCUCAACUCCUCUCCCAAACAAUGAGUGUCUGCAGUUUGGUGGGGAGGGUAUGAUUUCACAGCAGGUGAGGGGCUCUCAACUCCUCUCCCAAACAAUGUGUGUCUGCAGUUUGGUGGGGAGGGUAUGAUUUCACAGCAGGUGAGCGGCUCUCAACUCCUCUCCCAAACAAUGUGUGUCUGCAGUUUGGUGGGGAGGGUAUGAUUUCACAGCAGGUGAGCGGCUCUCAACUCCUCUCCCAAACAAUGUGUGUCUGCAGUUUGGUGGGGAGGGUAUGAUUUCACAGCAGGUGAGCGGCUCUCAACUCCUCUCCCAAACAAUGUGUGCUUUGAUGGAUCCUGUGGUGCGUUUUCCUGCUUUUCUUUUAACUGUGCAGGUUGAAACCUGGGUGCCCGAUUGAGUCAGCUGCUUACAUGUCUUGUCUAUGAAACGCUAUUAUUCAUCCGAACUGAAAAAGGAUUGUGUCAACAGCAGCAGGGCCUUGCUGGGCAGGUUUGCUGUGACCAGAUGAGAAGAAACACUUUGAAGUCCUUGUCCUGGAAAAGCACCUCGUCACACAAGAGCCAGUGGUGGGGUCACCGGCAUUUUCCUGCUUCUCCUCACCGACGGCAGUGUGAACGCAGCCCAUUCUGCAGGCCGGAGCUGACGGCUGUUGCACCUGGGCCAGAGUCCCUGCCCCAGAGGCUGCUGUGAUGGGAACCGCCAGCCUCACUCCCCUUCCUGCGAGAGGUCAUGUCCCUGUCCCAGCACCUUCAACAAAGAAGUGGGGCCUGCAGCUGACGCUAUGAGCGGGUGUCAGGCUGGGUGGAGGUGUCCGUUGGACGGUCGAAAGUUGCUAUAGCAAUAACAAACAUGGUUCUCAUGUUUUGAAAAGAAGGGACACCUGCGAGGAGCAGGAAUUCUUCCGUCAUGAUCCACGCUCUGUCGGGUUGCGGUAGCCAUCAGCAUGCCCAUAAACUGAGAAAUAUACAUGUUUAUAUAUAUGUCUUUUUCACUUUAUUGGCAAGUAUUGCACAAGUAUGUAAACCUCACGUUCUGCAGCUAAGGGCUGCAUAGUCGUAACUUCUGAGCAGUUUAUUAAGGUUGAAUACAACUGAUGUAACGAAUCACUUUAUAAAAUAAAAUCCAGUGCA